Molecule: ribosomal RNA, 253 nt
Filed under: uncultured prokaryote
Description: partial 16S ribosomal RNA
Rfam family: Bacterial small subunit ribosomal RNA
Source: RNAcentral
ACGAAGGGUGCAAACGUUGCUCGGAAUUACUGGGCGUAAAGCGCACGUAGGCGGCUAUUCAAGUCAGAGGUGAAAGCCCGGGGCUCAACCCCGGAACUGCCUUUGAAACUAGAUAGCUUGAAUCACGGAGAGGUGGGUGGAAUUCCGAGUGUAGAGGUGAAAUUCGUAGAUAUUCGGAAGAACACCAGUGGCGAAGGCGGCCCACUGGACGUGUAUUGACGCUGAGGUGCGAAAGCGUGGAGAGCAAACAGGA